AGGCCGGGAGAGUGAGUGAUUUCAGCACGAACUCCCCAGCGUCCCCACCGCCUUCCAGCCCCCAGAGCCAGCGUGUCUCGGCACAGAGCGGACAACGACAGGGCCGGAGUCCCCAGCAGCUUUUGCCACUGACGAAGCCCGGGCACCAUGAAUGCAAGCGACUUCCGCCGGCGGGGGAAGGAGAUGGUGGAUUACGUGGCUGACUACCUGGAGGGCAUCGAGGGUCGCCAGGUGUACCCCGACGUGCAGCCCGGCUACCUGCGCCCCCUGAUCCCCGCCACCGCCCCCCAGGAGCCAGACACGUUUGAGGACAUCCUUCAGGACGUUGAGAAGAUAAUCAUGCCGGGGGUGACCCACUGGCACAGCCCCUACUUCUUCGCCUACUUCCCCACGGCCAGCUCGUACCCGGCCAUGCUCGCCGACAUGCUGUGUGGGGCCAUUGGCUGCAUCGGCUUCUCCUGGGCUGCCAGCCCAGCAUGCACGGAGCUGGAGACAGUGAUGAUGGACUGGCUGGGGAAGAUGCUGCAGCUGCCCGAGGCGUUUCUGGCUGGAGAGGCCGGAGAAGGCGGCGGGGUGAUCCAGGGAAGUGCCAGUGAAGCUACCUUGGUGGCUCUGCUGGCCGCUCGGACCAAAGUGGUGGUGGCUACGCUGGGGACCACAUCGUGCUGCUCCUUUGACAAUCUCUUAGAAGUGGGACCCAUCUGUCAUGAAGAGGACAUAUGGCUGCACGUGGAUGCUGCCUACGCAGGCAGUGCCUUCAUCUGCCCUGAGUUCCGGCACCUGCUGAAUGGAGUGGAGUUUGCAGAUUCAUUUAACUUUAAUCCCCACAAAUGGCUCUUGGUGAAUUUUGACUGCUCGGCUAUGUGGGUGAAAAGGAGAACGGACCUGACUGGAGCCUUCAAAUUGGACCCCGUGUACUUAAAGCACAGCCACCAGGACUCGGGGCUUAUCACGGACUACAGGCACUGGCAGCUGCCACUGGGUCGGCGAUUCCGGUCCCUGAAAAUGUGGUUUGUUUUCAGGAUGUACGGAGUCAAGGGACUGCAGGCCUAUAUCCGCAAGCACGUGCAGCUGUCUCAUGAGUUUGAGGCAUUUGUGCUUCAGGAUCCCCGCUUUGAAGUCUGUGCCGAAGUCACCCUGGGGCUGGUGUGUUUCCGGCUGAAGGGCUCCGACGGACUGAAUGAAGCGCUUCUGGAAAGGAUAAACAGCGCCAGGAAAAUCCACUUGGUUCCCUGUCGCCUGAGGGGUCAGUUCGUGCUGCGGUUUGCCAUCUGCUCGCGCACGGUGGAGUCGGGCCACGUGCGGCUGGCCUGGGAGCACAUCCGAGGGCUGGCGGCCGAGCUGCUGGCCGCGGAGGAGGGAAAGGCAGGUAGGCCGCACUGCCGUCCGUGCACGGGGGCGACGGAGCAGGGCCCUCGGCUGCAGAAGUGGACAGAACGGAUGCCGCGGGGAGGCUCUAGGAACGUGGAGAGAGGUCUGCUCUGUACUCUUUUCUGAGAGAUGGUCAAUCAUGUAUCAUAUGACUUGCCCUCAGGUUUCUUCAGGGUGGCGAAGGCAGCUUACUGUCACUGCAAGCUUAUUUAUUCAGCAGGCAAACUAUACAUGAGUGGAAAUGAAUGAACCCCCCAAAAAAGGCAAUUUGGGAGUUCUCACUGUGGCAGAGUGGGUUAAGAAGCUAACCACAGAUGCCCAGGUUGAUGAGGAGGCAUGGGUUCAAUCCCCGGCCUGGUGCCAUGGGUUAAAGAUCCAGCAUUGCCUCAGCUGUGGUGUAGGUCAUGGCCGUGGCUCGGAUUCAAUCCCUGGCCCAGGAACUUCCAUUUGCUGCAGGUGUGGCCACAACUUUUUUUUUUUAAAGGCAAUUUGACAUGACUGAUGGUUUACAGUCAGGAAGAACCAAAUUCAUGAUGGUUUAGAGCAGGGAAAAGUCUGGAAUGCUGGGCAUCCUUUGCAGGAAAGCAGGCGGGCAAUGCUGAAGGAAAACGCACGAACGCAGCACUGGUGACGGGCUGAAAUGAUGCCUGUGGAGCCACAGGGAUCUUAAGAGCAUCGCUAGUUCCUUAGGGAGGUCACGCCACUGGACGUUGUCCACCUUCCUGGUUUCUUUUUUCUUUUCAUCCCACUUGGCGGCUGGGGUGGUCGGUAGUGGGAGCUUCUGCUGCCCUUUCUCUUUUCCUGCCCGCUGCCCGUCUCGUCACCUUCGGACGUCUAACCAAAGUGGGCGAUGCAAUUAGCCUUCAGCUUGACCUUCUGUGCUGUAAACUGGGAAUACCUGAGAUAUUGUGGGGCUCAAAACCCGGAGGGUAAAGACCCUAUGUCAUUUAUGGGGAGGCCCAUCCACGGCUGCUAGCCUGAGAGGUCCGGGAUCCACCUCCUCUGCCCCGAAACACCAGGUCCCCUUCCUAGCUCAGCAAAGCCCUUUCCUUUCUUUUUUUUUUUUUUUCGUCUUUUUUUUUUUUUUUUGUCUUUUUGCCAUUUCUUGGGCCACUCCCGUGGCAUGUGGAGGUUCCCAGGCUAGGGGUCGAAUCGGAGCUGUCGCCACCAGCCUACACCAGAGCCACAGCAAUGCGGGAUCCGAGCCGCGUCUGCAACCUACACCACAGCUCACAGCAAUGCUGGAUCCUUAACCCACUGAGCAAGGCCAGGGAUCGAACCUGCAAUCUCAUGGUUCCUAGUCGGAUUCGCUAACCACUGCGCCACGACGGGAACUCCAGCAAAGCCCUUUCCUAAAAGUCUGCUGCUUGUAAGCCGAGGGGCCACCCUCUGGAGAGCAACCGCAAAGUUCUAGCUUGAGAAGAGGUGGGGGAGAGGCCCAUAUUUCCAGAUUACCCCAUUGCUCCGAGAUAAGCAUGCCUGGGUGGCGGGGCUGUGUGCGUAGGUGGGGAAAGAAGACACAUUCAAAACAAACCCAUACGAGGCAGACACUCCAGAGGAACGUUUCUGCAGCCUGUGUCUGCGUAUCUCAUUCCAUCGUACUCUUAUCCCCGUGUGUCCAAAACAACACAGGAAGAGACCGUGGCUCAGAAAAACGAUCAGAAACAGAGGCGCAUUUCUGACAGAAGUCACAACUUACCGUGGAGUCAUUAUAUCAUUUCAAAAGGUUUUUAAAUAACCUUCCCCCCUCCCUUUUUUUGGCCAUCCUGGCUGCAUAUGGAAGUUCCCAGCCCAGGCAUGCAAUCCAAGCUAGAGCUGCAGUCUCUGCCACAACUGCAGCAAUGCAGGCUGCUUAAUCCACUGUGCCAGGCCCGGACUUGAACCGGUGCCCCCACAGAGACAAGUCGAAUCAUUAACCCACUGUGCCACAGCGGAAACUCCAGGUUUAAUAUUUUUUGACAUAGGAUAUAAUAGUAAAUUGUAAUGCAUAUAUGUUGUUUGGGUCAGAUUAACUAGAGGGAUGAAAAUCUUAAUCCCUUGGUUUUACUCGUAAAACUUAUGUAAAUGGGAGUUCCCCUGGUAAUGAACCCAACCAGUAUCCAUGAGAACCUGGGUUUGAUCCCUGGCCUCACUUAGUAGGUCAGGGAUCUGGUGUUGCUAUGGGCUGUGGUAUAGGUCGCAGACGUGGCUUGGAUCCCAUGUUGCUGGGGCUGUGGUGUAGGCCCGCAGCUGCAGCUCUGAUUUGACCCAGGAACUUCCUUAUGCCAAGGGUGCGGCCCUAAAAAGCCAAAAAAAAAAAAAAAAAAAAAAAAAAAGUGAAUGUACAUCAAAUCCGCAAUGUCAUAGUUGUGAAAGAAACUAUCCUAUUUCGCAGUAGAUAGAAAACUGGACCCAGAUUCUAGUUGACAUUAAUAAAAUGUAUCCUAGAGAAGCCAGAUCGGCAAUACAAACGUUUCUUUCAGCUCAAACUCUCUUCCAUUGGACGGUUCGCCAAACGGUAGAGUCCUUCUUUGUGUUCAAAUGAGGAAUAUACACAUUCUGAUUUUUAAGCUUUUUUGAAUAUAGCCAUAUGUUCAAGUUAUUUUUUCCCUGUAGAGAUCAAAAGUUGAAGUGCCCUGAAGAGCAGAAUCGGAGGAGACGCGUCGUCCCCGCUCCGAGGCGUAGAGCCUGCAUGUGGUCCCCCCACUUCUUUAGCCCACGUUCUCCAGAAAGAAGCUUGUGCCUACGUCUGACCAGCCUCUCAGCAAUGAAGAAGUAUUAUCUGCUCUUUGAAAAGUUAAUCCCAGUGGAGACAGCUUUUACUCUUUAUUUGGCUGUGAUUGUUUGUUGAUUAAAACAUCAUAGGUUUCUGCAUCCUUGAAGUUGUCAGCGGUGGUCCACUUUCCGGGGCAACCUAUGCUGAUGGGAUUUGAGAUGAUACCCGUGGUCUUUAAAUUACUCUGUCCUGUGGCUUAGUGCUUAAUAAAUGAUGUGAAGUG
RNAcentral lists this long non-coding RNA (4349 nucleotides) under Sus scrofa (pig). RNAcentral's name for it is "lncRNA (ENSSSCG00030014228.1)". The record is from RNAcentral. Lineage: Eukaryota; Metazoa; Chordata; Mammalia; Artiodactyla; Suidae.